Molecule: ribosomal RNA, 269 nt
Filed under: uncultured archaeon
Lineage: Archaea
Description: partial 16S ribosomal RNA
Rfam family: Archaeal small subunit ribosomal RNA
Source: RNAcentral
CAGCCGUAAACUAUGCGCGUUAGGUGUAUCGGUGACCACGAGUUACCGAGGUGCCGAAGGGAAACCGUGGAAACGUGCCGCCUGGGAAGUACGGUCGCAAGGCUGAAACUUAAAGGAAUUGGCGGGGGGAGCGACCACAACGGGUGGAGCCUGCGGUUUAAUUGGGACUCAACGGCCGGGAAGCUCACCGGGAUAAGACAGCGGAAUGAUUGCCGGGCGUGAAGACUCUGCAUGGACUAGGCUGAGAGGUGGUGCAUGGCGUGUGACUG